RNAcentral lists this ribosomal RNA (497 nucleotides) under uncultured bacterium. Its description in RNAcentral is "partial 16S ribosomal RNA". It matches the Rfam family "Bacterial small subunit ribosomal RNA", at positions 28 to 507 of the family's 1533-position model. The record is from RNAcentral.
GAUGAACGCUGGCGGCGUGCCUAAUACAUGCAAGUCGAGCGAGCAGACGAGGAGCUUGCUCCUCUGACGUUAGCGGCGGACGGGUGAGUAACACGUGGAUAACCUACCUAUAAGACUGGGAUAACUUCGGGAAACCGGAGCUAAUACCGGAUAAUAUAUUGAACCGCAUGGUUCAAUAGUGAAAGACGGUUUUGCUGUCACUUAUAGAUGGAUCCGCGCCGCAUUAGCUAGUUGGUAAGGUAACGGCUUACCAAGGCAACGAUGCGUAGCCGACCUGAGAGGGUGAUCGGCCACACUGGAACUGAGACACGGGCCAGACUCCUACGGGAGGCAGCAGUAGGGAAUCUUCCGCAAUGGGCGAAAGCUUGACGGAGCAACGCCGCGUGAGUGAUGAAGGUCUUCGGAUCGUAAAACUCUGUUAUUAGGGAAGAACAAAUGUGUAAGUAACUAUGCACGUCUUGACGGUACCUAAUCAGAAAGCCACGGCUAACUACGUG